RNAcentral lists this transfer RNA (85 nucleotides) under Felis catus (domestic cat). It matches the Rfam family "tRNA". From Rfam's summary of the family: Transfer RNA (tRNA) molecules are approximately 80 nucleotides in length. Their secondary structure includes four short double-helical elements and three loops (D, anti-codon, and T loops). Further hydrogen bonds mediate the characteristic L-shaped molecular structure. tRNAs have two regions of fundamental functional importance: the anti-codon, which is responsible for specific mRNA codon recognition, and the 3' end, to which the tRNAs corresponding amino acid is attached (by aminoacyl-tRNA synthetases). tRNAs cope with the degeneracy of the genetic code in two manners: having more than one tRNA (with a specific anti-codon) for a particular amino acid; and 'wobble' base-pairing, i.e. permitting non-standard base-pairing at the 3rd anti-codon position. RNAcentral also lists the same sequence under 1 other name. Lineage: Eukaryota; Metazoa; Chordata; Mammalia; Carnivora; Felidae. The record is from Rfam by way of RNAcentral.
GCCUGGGUGGCUCAGUCAUUGAGUGUCUGACUUCAGCUCAGGUCAUGAUCUCAUGGUUUUGUGGGUUCAAGCCCCACAUUGGGCU